This 468-nucleotide ribosomal RNA is filed under the name uncultured bacterium. RNAcentral describes it as "partial 16S ribosomal RNA". It matches the Rfam family "Bacterial small subunit ribosomal RNA", at positions 28 to 507 of the family's 1533-position model. The record is from RNAcentral.
GACGAACGCUGGCGGCGUGCUUAACACAUGCAAGUCGAACGGAAAGGCCCUGCUUUUGUGGGGUGCUCGAGUGGCGAACGGGUGUGUAACACGUGAGUAACCUGCCCUUGACUUUGGGAUAACUUCAGGAAACUGGGGCUAAUACCGGAUAGGAGCUCCUGCUGCAUGGUGGGGGUUGGAAAGUUUCGGCGGUUGGGGAUGGACUCGCGGCUUAUCAGCUUGUUGGUGGGGUAGUGGCUUACCAAGGCUUUGACGGGUAGCCGGCCUGAGAGGGUGACCGGCCACAUUGGGACUGAGAGACGGCCCAGACUCCUACGGGAGGCAGCAGUGGGGAAUAUUGCACAAUGGGCGGAAGCCUGAUGCAGCAACGCCGCGUGCGGGAUGACGGCCUUCGGGUUGUAAACCGCUUUCGCCGGUGACGAAGCGUGAGUGACGGUAAUGGGUAAAGAAGCACCGGCUAACUACGUG